GAGCGGACAGAUGGGAGCUUGCUCCCUGAUGUUAGCGGCGGACGGGUGAGUAACACGUGGGUAACCUGCCUGUAAGACUGGGAUAACUCCGGGAAACCGGGGCUAAUACCGGAUGGUUGUUUGAACCGCAUGGUUCAAACAUAAAAGGUGGCUUCGGCUACCACUUACAGAUGGACCCGCGGCGCAUUAGCUAGUUGGUGAGGUAACGGCUCACCAAGGCAACGAUGCGUAGCCGACCUGAGAGGGUGAUCGGCCACACUGGGACUGAGACACGGCCCAGACUCCUACGGGAGGCAGCAGUAGGGAAUCUUCCGCAAUGGACGAAAGUCUGACGGAGCAACGCCGCGUGAGUGAUGAAGGUUUUCGGAUCGUAAAGCUCUGUUGUUAGGGAAGAACAAGUACCGUUC
Molecule: ribosomal RNA, 407 nt
Filed under: Bacillus subtilis
Lineage: Bacteria; Bacillati; Bacillota; Bacilli; Caryophanales; Bacillaceae
Description: bacterial SSU rRNA
Rfam family: Bacterial small subunit ribosomal RNA
Source: RNAcentral